RNAcentral lists this transfer RNA (87 nucleotides) under Cordylochernes scorpioides. RNAcentral's name for it is "tRNA-Sec". The record is from RNAcentral. Lineage: Eukaryota; Metazoa; Arthropoda; Arachnida; Pseudoscorpiones; Chernetidae.
CGUUCAGAAAGUGGAAUCGAACCUCUCCGCUUCUGAGCGGUUACAGGUUUGAAGCCUGCACCCUGGACCUCCGAAGUUCAUCUGGGC